AGCGGGGUAGAGGAAUUGGUCGACUCAUCAGGCUCAUGACCUGAAGACUGCAG
RNAcentral lists this transfer RNA (53 nucleotides) under Secale cereale (rye). Its description in RNAcentral is "partial tRNA-Met(CAU)". Lineage: Eukaryota; Viridiplantae; Streptophyta; Magnoliopsida; Poales; Poaceae. The record is from RNAcentral.